Molecule: long non-coding RNA, 713 nt
Filed under: Homo sapiens (human)
Lineage: Eukaryota; Metazoa; Chordata; Mammalia; Primates; Hominidae
Description: non-protein coding LINC01206:2
Source: RNAcentral
ACCAUGGGAGAGAAUUUGAACGCUCUUGGCAGUUGAGAUUCAGACCUUGACAGUUGUAACCGAUAGACUGGGCUGGGGCAACGCUGAUGAAAGGCAAAUUCCUGAGAGAAAAAUCACCCAGACUUUCUAGAAGUUGUUAUGAGUGGACCUGACUACCUAGAGAGAGUAAUACAGAAGCUCCGUGCCGAUCACAGCUACCUCAUUACCAUGUUCCUCCAAGAUGGCCGCCCCUGAGGAGAAUCAUCAACUGGGCUUUACGGAAGAGAGAAAUCCAAACGACCAUCAGCAACAAAUGAAAGACUGAAGUUGAAAGUUUCAAGAUUGUCAAGAAUGACGAGUUGGACUUGGUCUAGUUACUUCCACAGCAGCAGGAGGAACAUGUGUGUGACUCAGGAUAACUGGGGAAGCCUUGGCUAGGCUUUCCUCAUGUCAACCUACCACUCAAAGGGAGAAAACCUCCUGAUCAGAGGUGCCCAGAACCCAGGAAAUCCAUAAUUUUUGAAUGCUGGCCGAGGUCUGUGACCUCUGACUGAAUGGUUUCCAAGCUCCGAAUUCCUAGGUGAUGUUUUCAUUUGUUCACACUUGCUGAAGAAGGGAAAGGCUCUCUGAUUUACGUGUAAGCAAAACAAUCUAAACAGUAGGAUAAAAUCAUGUUGGAAUGGAGUUCUGUGUGGAUGCUCCUUUGAACCAAAUCAGUUCCACAACUGACCCUG